Molecule: ribosomal RNA, 492 nt
Filed under: uncultured bacterium
Lineage: Bacteria
Description: bacterial SSU rRNA
Rfam family: Bacterial small subunit ribosomal RNA
Source: RNAcentral
GAUUCUGGCUCAGGAUGAACGCUGGCGGCGUGCCUAACACAUGCAAGUCGAGCGGAGAUAAGUUGAAGCCUAGCGAUUCUUAUCUUAGCGGCGGAUGGGUGAGUAACACGUGGGUAACCUGCCCUGUACUGGGGAAUAACAGCUGGAAACGGCUGUUAAUGCCGCAUAUGCGCACGGAGCCGCAUGACUCCGGGCGGAAAGAUUUAUCGGUACAGGAUGGGCCCGCGCCGGAUUAACUAGUUGGCGGGGUAACGGCCCACCAAGGUGAUGAUCCGUAGCCGACCUGAGAGGGUGACCGGCCACAUUGGGACUGAGACACGGCCCAAACUCCUACGGGAGGCAGCAGUGGGGGAUAUUGCACAAUGGGGGAAACCCUGAUGCAGCGACGCCGCGUGAAGGAUGACGUAUUUCGGUAUGUAAACUUCUAUCAGCGGGGAAGAAGAUGACGGUACCCGACUAAGAAGCCCCGGCUAACUACGUGCCAGCCGCCGC